This 414-nucleotide ribosomal RNA is filed under the name uncultured soil bacterium. Its description in RNAcentral is "bacterial SSU rRNA". It matches the Rfam family "Bacterial small subunit ribosomal RNA", at positions 258 to 688 of the family's 1533-position model. The record is from RNAcentral.
UAACGGCCUACCAUGGCUCCGAUGGGUAGCUGGUUUGAGAGAGCGACCAGCCACACUGGGACUGAGAAACGGCCCAUACUCCUAUGGGAGGCAGCAGUGAGGAAUUUUCCGCAAUGGGCGCAAGCCUGACGGAGCGACGCCGCGUGUGGGAAGAAGGCCUUCGGGUCGUAAACCACUGUCGAAGGGGACGAUAAUGACGGUACCCUUGGAGGAAGCCCCGGCUAACUACGUGCCAGCAGCCGCGGUAAGACGUAGGGGGCAAGCGUUAUUCGGAAUCAUUGGGCGUAAAGCGCACGCAGGCGGUCGUGUAAGUUUGGGGUUACAGCUCCCGGCUCAACCGGGAGAGCGCCUUGAAGACUGCAGGACUUGAGGGCCAAAGAGGGACACAGAAUUCCGGGUGUAGUGGUGAAAAUG